This 199-nucleotide ribosomal RNA is filed under the name uncultured bacterium. Its description in RNAcentral is "partial 16S ribosomal RNA". It matches the Rfam family "Bacterial small subunit ribosomal RNA", at positions 328 to 539 of the family's 1533-position model. The record is from RNAcentral.
ACGCUCGACACCUACGGGAGGCCGCAGUGGGGAAUAUUGCACAAUGGGGGGAACCCUGAUGCAGCGACGCCGCGUGAGGGAAGAAGGUUUUCGGAUUGUAAACCUCUGUCUUUGGUGACGAUAAUGACGGUAGCCAAAGAGGAAGCUACGGCUAACUACGUGCCAGCAGCCGUCGGUAAUCUGAGCGGGCUGGCAAGGC